UCGUCUACUUCCGGCGUGCAGACUGCGCGCAC
Molecule: small RNA, 32 nt
Filed under: Bombyx mori (domestic silkworm)
Lineage: Eukaryota; Metazoa; Arthropoda; Insecta; Lepidoptera; Bombycidae
Description: ovarian small RNA-29272
Source: RNAcentral